This is a microRNA precursor of Gossypium arboreum, 145 nucleotides long. It matches the Rfam family "MIR7502 microRNA precursor family". Lineage: Eukaryota; Viridiplantae; Streptophyta; Magnoliopsida; Malvales; Malvaceae. The record is from Rfam.
UAUUACAAAUUCAUCAAUUUCUACUAUUAAAAACUAAUAUGGUUGAUAGAAUGAUUAGAUAGUUUACACGUGGCAUGCUACGUACACCACAUUUUGACGUUAAAAUACCAAUUUUUAACAGUAGAAACUGAUGAAAUUUUUAAUA